CCUACGGGUGGCAGCAGUGGGGAAUAUUGGACAAUGGGGGGAACCCUGAUCCAGCCAUGCCGCGUGUGUGAAGAAGGCCCUCGGGUUGUAAAGCACUCUCAGUGAGGAAGAACGCCUGGUGGUUAAUACCCAUCAGGAAAGACAUCACUCACAGAAGAAGCACCGGCUAACUCCGUGCCAGCAGCCGCGGUAAUACGGAGGGUGCGAGCGUUAAUCGGAAUUACUGGGCGUAAAGCGCGCGUAGAUGGCUUGAUAAGCCGGUUGUGAAAGCCCCGGGCUCAACCUGGGAACGGCAUCCGGAACUGUCAAGCUAGAGUGCAGGAGAGGAAGGUAGAAUUCCCGGUGUAGCGGUGAAAUGCGUAGAGAUCGGGAGGAAUACCAGUGGCGAAGGCGGCCUUCUGGACUGACACUGACACUGAGGUGCGAAAGCGUGGGUAGCAAACAGGAUUAGAUACCCUAGUAGUC
RNAcentral lists this ribosomal RNA (465 nucleotides) under Vreelandella stevensii. Its description in RNAcentral is "partial 16S ribosomal RNA". It matches the Rfam family "Bacterial small subunit ribosomal RNA", at positions 338 to 795 of the family's 1533-position model. Lineage: Bacteria; Pseudomonadati; Pseudomonadota; Gammaproteobacteria; Oceanospirillales; Halomonadaceae. The record is from RNAcentral.